CCUACGGGCGGCAGCAGUGGGGAAUAUUGGACAAUGGGCGAAAGCCUGAUCCAGCCAUGCCGCGUGUGUGAAGAAGGCCUUCGGGUUGUAAAGCACUUUCAGUGGGGAAGAAAGCCUUGGGGCUAAUACCCUCGAGGAAGGACAUCACCCACAGAAGAAGCACCGGCUAACUCCGUGCCAGCAGCCGCGGUAAUACGGAGGGUGCGAGCGUUAAUCGGAAUUACUGGGCGUAAAGCGCGCGUAGGCGGUCUGAUAAGCCGGUUGUGAAAGCCCCGGGCUCAACCUGGGAACGGCAUCCGGAACUGUCAGGCUAGAGUGCAGGAGAGGAAGGUAGAAUUCCCGGUGUAGCGGUAAAAGGCGUAGAGAUCGGGAGGAAUACCAGUGGCGAAGGCGGCCUUCUGGACUGACACUGACGCUGAGGUGCGAAAGCGUGGGUAGCAAACAGGAUUAGAUACCCGGGAGUC
RNAcentral lists this ribosomal RNA (464 nucleotides) under Vreelandella stevensii. Its description in RNAcentral is "partial 16S ribosomal RNA". It matches the Rfam family "Bacterial small subunit ribosomal RNA", at positions 338 to 795 of the family's 1533-position model. Lineage: Bacteria; Pseudomonadati; Pseudomonadota; Gammaproteobacteria; Oceanospirillales; Halomonadaceae. The record is from RNAcentral.